GCGCACAGCGGUGGUGCUAAGUGCUUGCUGGGGGAGUGGCCGAAGUCCCUAGGCCCACGCAGGUGCUGGGUCUGGUUGGAGUGCUGCUCCUACGCCGACUUCCCCUUGGCGCACUCUUAUGGUCUUUCCCUUGCAAGGAAAUGCAUCCUCGGGUGGAUCUGGAGGUGAGAGAGAAAGGGACUAUCUGAGCACUGGGGUUGGAGUCACAGAAGGACCACGCAAGGCUUCAGUGUUGAAGGUUUUGACUGUGGAGAAAAGAGUAACAAGAAUGUCAGCAGAGGCAUUUCGUAUCCUAAUUUUAACAUGAUACUUAAAAUUCUA
Long non-coding RNA from Pan troglodytes (chimpanzee), 321 nucleotides. RefSeq lists it as uncharacterized. The record is from RefSeq and is a predicted model, not a curated record. The transcript is spliced from 3 exons. Lineage: Eukaryota; Metazoa; Chordata; Mammalia; Primates; Hominidae.